AUCUAAUUAGUAUAAAAAGUAUUAUAGACUUCCAAUCUUUAGGUCUAAGCAUUAGAUUAGAUA
This 63-nucleotide transfer RNA is filed under the name Glyptelasma annandalei. RNAcentral's name for it is "tRNA-Gly". The record is from RNAcentral. Lineage: Eukaryota; Metazoa; Arthropoda; Thecostraca; Poecilasmatidae.